This 253-nucleotide ribosomal RNA is filed under the name uncultured bacterium. RNAcentral's name for it is "partial 16S ribosomal RNA". It matches the Rfam family "Bacterial small subunit ribosomal RNA", at positions 524 to 776 of the family's 1533-position model. The record is from RNAcentral. RNAcentral also lists the same sequence under 1 other name.
UACGAAGGGAGCUAGCGUUGUUCGGAAUCACUGGGCGUAAAGCGCACGUAGGCGGAUGUGUCAGUCAGGGGUGAAAUCCCGGAGCUCAACUUCGGAACUGCCUUUGAUACAGCACAUCUGGAGUCCGGAAGAGGUGGGUGGAAUUCCUAGUGUAGAGGUGAAAUUCGUAGAUAUUAGGAAGAACACCGGUGGCGAAGGCGGCCCACUGGUCCGGUACUGACGCUGAGGUGCGAAAGCGUGGGGAGCAAACAGG